UGAAGAGUUUGAUCAUGGCUCAGAUUGAACGCUGGCGGCAGGCCUAACACAUGCAAGUCGAACGGUAACAGGAAGCAGCUUGCUGCUUCGCUGACGAGUGGCGGACGGGUGAGUAAUGUCUGGGAAACUGCCUGAUGGAGGGGGAUAACUACUGGAAACGGUGGCUAAUACCGCAUAACGUCGCAAGACCAAAGAGGGGGACCUUCGGGCCUCUUGCCAUCAGAUGUGCCCAGAUGGGAUUAGCUUGUUGGUGAGGUAACGGCUCACCAAGGCGACGAUCCCUAGCUGGUCUGAGAGGAUGACCAGCCACACUGGAACUGAGACACGGUCCAGACUCCUACGGGAGGCAGCAGUGGGGAAUAUUGCACAAUGGGCGCAAGCCUGAUGCAGCCAUGCCGCGUGUAUGAAGAAGGCCUUCGGGUUGUAAAGUACUUUCAGCGGGGAGG
Molecule: ribosomal RNA, 446 nt
Filed under: Salmonella enterica
Lineage: Bacteria; Pseudomonadati; Pseudomonadota; Gammaproteobacteria; Enterobacterales; Enterobacteriaceae
Also listed under: 3 other names
Description: partial 16S ribosomal RNA
Rfam family: Bacterial small subunit ribosomal RNA
Source: RNAcentral